RNAcentral lists this ribosomal RNA (1602 nucleotides) under Triticum aestivum (bread wheat). RNAcentral describes it as "partial small subunit ribosomal RNA". The record is from RNAcentral. Lineage: Eukaryota; Viridiplantae; Streptophyta; Magnoliopsida; Poales; Poaceae.
AUGAAAAAGACGACACACCCGACGACGAGAGAGCAGACCAGCCGAGACUUGGAGACUUUUCCUCCUCCGAUGUCAUCGUCGCGCGUCGCCGUGAUCGGCGCGGGGGCAGCCGGCCUGGUGGCGGCGCGCGAGCUGCGGCGCGAGGGCCACGCGCCUGUCGUCUUCGAGCGCGCAGCCGGCGUGGGCGGCACCUGGCGCUACGACGACGCGGCCUCGGCGGACCCGCUCGGUGCCGGUGGCGUCCACGGGAGCCUCUACGCGUCCCUCCGCACCAACCUGCCCCGCGAGUGCAUGGGCUUCCUCGACUUCCCCUUCGUCGCCGAUGAGGGCUCCGUUGACCCGCGCAGGUUCCCCGGGCACCAGGAGGUGCUCGGGUACCUCGAGGCGUUCGCGCGGCGGUUCGAUCUCCUCAGGCUGGUCCGGCUCCAGACGGAGGUGGUCGGCGUCCGCCGCAGCUGUGACGAAGCAGGCGCCGCGGGCUGGAGUGUGUCGUAUUGCUCGAGGAAGCUCGCCGGCGCCGGAAGCGACCUAGAGGGGGAGCAGUCAGAGGUGUUCGACGCCGUCGUCGUCUGCAACGGCCACUUCGCCGAGCCUCGCCUGGCGGACAUUGCCGGCAUAGGCGGCUGGCCCGGGAAGCAGAUGCACAGCCACAGCUACCGUGUGCCCGACCCGUUCCACGGCCAAGUCGUGGUGAUCAUAGGAUACAACCCCAGCGGGAUGGACAUCUCGCGGGACAUUGCUGGCGUCGCCAAAGAGGUCCACGUCGCCAUUCGGUCAGCACCUGCUGAGAUGCAGAGUGCUACUGCCCAUGCCAACUUGUGGCUACAUCCCAUGAUUGAAUUUGCCGAGGAAGAUGGCAGCGUGGUGUUCCGGGAUGGCAGCCGGGUAAAGGCAGACGCAAUCGUACACUGCACUGGGUACAAGUAUAGGUUCCCGUUCCUGGAGGAGGAGGAUGGUAUAGUGAGCGUGGACGACGCUCGUGUGGGUCCGCUCUACAAGCACGUGUUCCCGCCACACCUGGCCCCUCACAUCUCCUUCAUCGGAUUGCCAUUCAAGUCGAUCCUUUUUCCAGUGUUCCGACUCCAGAGCAACUGGGUGGCGGGAGCACUGUCAGGAAGGAUUGAGCUCCCGUCGCCGGAGGAGAUGAUGCUGGAUGUCACGGCAUUUUACUCAAACAUGGAAGUCCGCGGAUGGCCCAAAAAAUUCACCCACAACCUGGGAGUGGAAGCAUGGACGGUCCGUGCAGUGUACCUAUGCUAUGUAUACACGUCGUCCAUACUGUUGAUGCUUAUAUAUAGUAAACUUAUAUACAUAAUUUGUUUUGGCGUGUUGCAGUUUGAGUAUGAGGACUGGCUCUCAGAGCAGUGCGGUCUGAAGAAGAUGGAGGAGUGGAGGAGGGUGAUAUACGCCGCGGGGAGAGCGAGGGUGUCGGUCCGGCCAGAGAGCUACCGCGACGAGUGGGACGACAACCAACUGCUGGCCCAAGCACACCUUGAUUUAUCUAAGUAUAUCUCUGAUGUCACCUCGUCGAUGGCUACUUAUGAUGUAGCUUCUGUCGACCUCUCGUCCCUUCGAGCACAUGCGAUAAAAGAGAUCAGAUGA